UAACCAGACGGUCGCAUCGUAAGAUGAGGAAAGUCCGAGCACCACAGGACAGAGUGCCGGCUAAUUACCGGUGAAGGCGACUUCAAGGAAAGUGCACAGAAAUACACAGCCGCUUGCGGCAACAGGUGAAAUGGUGAGGUAAGAGCUCACCGGGGGCCGGGUGACCGGUCUGCCAGGUAAACCCCACUCGGUGCAAGAGAGGAUAGGCUAAGGUGGUCCGCCGCUAUCCGACGUUCGCUUGAACGCGUAGGUAACUGCGCGUCUAGACAGAUGACCGUUUAAUACAGAACUCGGCUUAUAGAUUAACUCA
RNAcentral lists this RNase P RNA (310 nucleotides) under bovine gut metagenome. Its description in RNAcentral is "Bacterial RNase P class A". It matches the Rfam family "Bacterial RNase P class A". Rfam says of the family: Ribonuclease P (RNase P) is a ubiquitous endoribonuclease, found in archaea, bacteria and eukarya as well as chloroplasts and mitochondria. Its best characterised activity is the generation of mature 5'-ends of tRNAs by cleaving the 5'-leader elements of precursor-tRNAs. The record is from RNAcentral.